This is a long non-coding RNA of Triplophysa rosa, 806 nucleotides long. RefSeq lists it as uncharacterized. NCBI's taxonomy places the organism in Eukaryota, Metazoa, Chordata, Actinopteri, Cypriniformes, Nemacheilidae. The record is from RefSeq and is a predicted model, not a curated record. The transcript has 3 exons.
AAAUCGUGUUUCCGGGACGGAUCGGGUAGCCACAGGCAGAUCUCAAGUACAUGAUUAUGCCUCUGUUCAGACACAAGACACUUUACAUAACUUAGAUAUUACAGUGUUGUGCUCUGGAAGAAAUGCAAUGAAACAUCCAAGGCUCAACUCACACGAUCAUUCUGUUUGAUCAUUUACAUACACUGGAUUCUUAAUAUAGUGUAUAAUGUCACCUGAUUGAGCAUAAAUGAAUGUUUGUAUCAUCUGUAGUUGUGUAUAAGUUUCUUCGCAUCUUUAUGGAGAUGCAGAUUUCAUUUUCCAACAGGACUUGGCACCUGCACACAGUGCCAAAGCUACCAGUACCUGGUUUAAGGACCAUGGUAUCCCUGUUCUUAAUUGGCCAGCAAACUCGCCUGACCUUAACCCCAUAGAAAAUCUAUGGGGUAUUGUGAAGAGGAAGAUGCGAUAUGCCAGACCCAACAAUGCAGAAGAGCUGAAGGCCACUAUCAGAGCAACCUGGGCUCUCAUAACACCUGAGCAGUGCCACAGACUGAUCGACUCCAUGCCACGCCGCAUUGCUGCAGUAAUUCAGGCAAAAGGAGCCCCAACUAAGUAUUGAGUGCUGUACAUGCUCAUACUUUUCAUGUUCAUACUUUUCAGUUGGCCAAGAUUUCUAAAAAUCCUUUCUUUGUAUUGGUCUUAAGUAAUAUUCUAAUUUUCUGAGAUACUGAAUUUGGGAUUUUCAUUAGUUGUCAGUUAUAAUCAUCAAAUUAAAAGAAAUAAACAUUUGAAAUAUAUCAGUCUGUGUGUAAUGAAUGAAUAUAAUA